This 1397-nucleotide ribosomal RNA is filed under the name Escherichia coli. Its description in RNAcentral is "partial 23S ribosomal RNA". It matches the Rfam family "Bacterial large subunit ribosomal RNA", at positions 1552 to 2925 of the family's 2925-position model. The record is from RNAcentral. RNAcentral also lists the same sequence under 1 other name. Lineage: Bacteria; Pseudomonadati; Pseudomonadota; Gammaproteobacteria; Enterobacterales; Enterobacteriaceae.
AAGGCUGAGGCGUGAUGACGAGGCACUACGGUGCUGAAGCAACAAAUGCCCUGCUUCCAGGAAAAGCCUCUAAGCAUCAGGUAACAUCAAAUCGUACCCCAAACCGACACAGGUGGUCAGGUAGAGAAUACCAAGGCGCUUGAGAGAACUCGGGUGAAGGAACUAGGCAAAAUGGUGCCGUAACUUCGGGAGAAGGCACGCUGAUAUGUAGGUGAAGUCCCUCGCGGAUGGAGCUGAAAUCAGUCGAAGAUACCAGCUGGCUGCAACUGUUUAUUAAAAACACAGCACUGUGCAAACACGAAAGUGGACGUAUACGGUGUGACGCCUGCCCGGUGCCGGAAGGUUAAUUGAUGGGGUUAGCGCAAGCGAAGCUCUUGAUCGAAGCCCCGGUAAACGGCGGCCGUAACUAUAACGGUCCUAAGGUAGCGAAAUUCCUUGUCGGGUAAGUUCCGACCUGCACGAAUGGCGUAAUGAUGGCCAGGCUGUCUCCACCCGAGACUCAGUGAAAUUGAACUCGCUGUGAAGAUGCAGUGUACCCGCGGCAAGACGGAAAGACCCCGUGAACCUUUACUAUAGCUUGACACUGAACAUUGAGCCUUGAUGUGUAGGAUAGGUGGGAGGCUUUGAAGUGUGGACGCCAGUCUGCAUGGAGCCGACCUUGAAAUACCACCCUUUAAUGUUUGAUGUUCUAACGUUGACCCGUAAUCCGGGUUGCGGACAGUGUCUGGUGGGUAGUUUGACUGGGGCGGUCUCCUCCUAAAGAGUAACGGAGGAGCACGAAGGUUGGCUAAUCCUGGUCGGACAUCAGGAGGUUAGUGCAAUGGCAUAAGCCAGCUUGACUGCGAGCGUGACGGCGCGAGCAGGUGCGAAAGCAGGUCAUAGUGAUCCGGUGGUUCUGAAUGGAAGGGCCAUCGCUCAACGGAUAAAAGGUACUCCGGGGAUAACAGGCUGAUACCGCCCAAGAGUUCAUAUCGACGGCGGUGUUUGGCACCUCGAUGUCGGCUCAUCACAUCCUGGGGCUGAAGUAGGUCCCAAGGGUAUGGCUGUUCGCCAUUUAAAGUGGUACGCGAGCUGGGUUUAGAACGUCGUGAGACAGUUCGGUCCCUAUCUGCCGUGGGCGCUGGAGAAUUGAGGGGGGCUGCUCCUAGUACGAGAGGACCGGAGUGGACGCAUCACUGGUGUUCGGGUUGUCAUGCCAAUGGCACUGCCCGGUAGCUAAAUGCGGAAGAGAUAAGUGCUGAAAGCAUCUAAGCACGAAACUUGCCCCGAGAUGAGUUCUCCCUGACUCCUUGAGAGUCCUGAAGGAACGUUGAAGACGACGACGUUGAUAGGCCGGGUGUGUAAGCGCAGCGAUGCGUUGAGCUAACCGGUACUAAUGAACCGUGAGGCUUAACCUU